GUGAACGCUGGCGGUAGGCCUAACACAUGCAAGUCGAACGGCAGCACCGUAAGAGCUUGCUCUUACGGGUGGCGAGUGGCGGACGGGUGAGGAAUACAUCGGAAUCUACUUUUUCGUGGGGGAUAACGUAGGGAAACUUACGCUAAUACCGCAUACGACCUACGGGUGAAAGCAGGGGAUCUUCGGGCCUUGCGCGAUUGAAUGAGCCGAUGUCGGAUUAGCUAGUUGGCGGGGUAAAGGCCCACCAAGGCGACGAUCCGUAGCUGGUCUGAGAGGAUGAUCAGCCACACUGGAACUGAGACACGGUCCAGACUCCUACGGGAGGCAGCAGUGGGGAAUAUUGGACAAUGGGCGCAAGCCUGAUCCAGCCAUACCGCGUGGGUGAAGAAGGCCUUCGGGUUGUAAAGCCCUUUUGUUGGGAAAGAAAAGCAGCAGGUUAAUACCCCGCUGUUCUGACGGUACCCAAAGAAUAAGCACCGGCUAACUUCGUG
RNAcentral lists this ribosomal RNA (491 nucleotides) under uncultured bacterium. RNAcentral describes it as "partial 16S ribosomal RNA". It matches the Rfam family "Bacterial small subunit ribosomal RNA", at positions 29 to 507 of the family's 1533-position model. The record is from RNAcentral.